This 373-nucleotide ribosomal RNA is filed under the name uncultured bacterium. Its description in RNAcentral is "bacterial SSU rRNA". It matches the Rfam family "Bacterial small subunit ribosomal RNA", at positions 524 to 898 of the family's 1533-position model. The record is from RNAcentral.
UACGGAGGGUGCAAGCGUUAUCCGGAAUCACUGGGUUUAAAGGGUGCGUAGGCGGUGGCGUAAGUCAGUUGUGAAAUUCCCCGGCUUAACCGGCGGGACUGCGAUUGAUACUGCGUCACUUGAAUCAGGAUGAGGUAGGCGGAAUGUGGCAUGUAGCGGUGAAAUGCUUAGAUAUGCCAUAGAACACCGAUUGCGAAGGCAGCUUGCUGGACCUGUAUUGACGCUGAGGCACGAAAGCGUGGGGAGCAAACAGGAUUAGAUACCCUGGUAGUCCACGCCCUAAACGAUGUUUACUUGCUGUGCGGUCUUCGGAUUGCGUGGCGAAGCGAAAGCGAUAAGUAAACCACCUGGGGAGUACGCCGGCAACGGUGAA